Molecule: ribosomal RNA, 625 nt
Filed under: Pantoea dispersa
Lineage: Bacteria; Pseudomonadati; Pseudomonadota; Gammaproteobacteria; Enterobacterales; Erwiniaceae
Description: bacterial SSU rRNA
Rfam family: Bacterial small subunit ribosomal RNA
Source: RNAcentral
UUGCUCUUUGGGUGGCGAGUGGCGGACGGGUGAGUAAUGUCUGGGAAACUGCCCGAUGGAGGGGGAUAACUACUGGAAACGGUAGCUAAUACCGCAUAACGUCGCAAGACCAAAGUGGGGGACCUUCGGGCCUCACACCAUCGGAUGUGCCCAGAUGGGAUUAGCUAGUAGGUGGGGUAAUGGCUCACCUAGGCGACGAUCCCUAGCUGGUCUGAGAGGAUGACCAGCCACACUGGAACUGAGACACGGUCCAGACUCCUACGGGAGGCAGCAGUGGGGAAUAUUGCACAAUGGGCGCAAGCCUGAUGCAGCCAUGCCGCGUGUAUGAAGAAGGCCUUCGGGUUGUAAAGUACUUUCAGCGGGGAGGAAGGCGGUGAGGUUAAUAACCUUGCCGAUUGACGUUACCCGCAGAAGAAGCACCGGCUAACUCCGUGCCAGCAGCCGCGGUAAUACGGAGGGUGCAAGCGUUAAUCGGAAUUACUGGGCGUAAAGCGCACGCAGGCGGUCUGUUAAGUCAGAUGUGAAAUCCCCGGGCUUAACCUGGGAACUGCAUUUGAAACUGGCAGGCUUGAGUCUCGUAGAGGGGGGUAGAAUUCCAGGUGUAGCGGUGAAAUGCGUAGAGAUC